Molecule: ribosomal RNA, 430 nt
Filed under: bacterium
Lineage: Bacteria
Description: partial 16S ribosomal RNA
Rfam family: Bacterial small subunit ribosomal RNA
Source: RNAcentral
UGGGGAAUAUUGGACAAUGGGCGCAAGCCUGAUCCAGCCAUGCCGCGUGUGUGAAGAAGGCCUUUUGGUUGUAAAGCACUUUAAGCGAGGAGGAGGCUACUUGGAUUAAUACUCUAGGAUAGUGGACGUUACUCGCAGAAUAAGCACCGGCUAACUCUGUGCCAGCAGCCGCGGUAAUACAGAGGGUGCGAGCGUUAAUCGGAUUUACUGGGCGUAAAGCGUGCGUAGGCGGCUUCUUAAGUCGGAUGUGAAAUCCCUGAGCUUAACUUAGGAAUUGCAUUCGAUACUGGGAAGCUAGAGUAUGGGAGAGGAUGGUAGAAUUCCAGGUGUAGCGGUGAAAUGCGUAGAGAUCUGGAGGAAUACCGAUGGCGAAGGCAGCCAUCUGGCCUAAUACUGACGCUGAGGUACGAAAGCAUGGGGAGGAAACAGG